AACGAACGCUGGCGGCAGGCCUAACACAUGCAAGUCGAGCGCGCCCUUCGGGGUGAGCGGCGGACGGGUGCGUAACGCGUGGGAACGUGCCCUUCUCUGCGGAAUAGCCUCGGGAAACUGAGAGUAAUACCGCAUACGCCCUUUGGGGGAAAGAUUUAUCGGAGAAGGAUCGGCCCGCGUUGGAUUAGGUAGUUGGUGGGGUAAUGGCCCACCAAGCCGACGAUCCAUAGCUGGUUUGAGAGGAUGAUCAGCCACACUGGGACUGAGACACGGCCCAGACUCCUACGGGAGGCAGCAGUGGGGAAUCUUAGACAAUGGGGGCAACCCUGAUCUAGCCAUGCCGCGUGAGUGAUGAAGGCCUUAGGGUUGUAAAGCUCUUUCAGCUGGGAAGAUAAUGACGGUACCAGCAGAAGAAGCCCCGGCUAACUCCGUG
RNAcentral lists this ribosomal RNA (433 nucleotides) under uncultured bacterium. RNAcentral's name for it is "partial 16S ribosomal RNA". It matches the Rfam family "Bacterial small subunit ribosomal RNA", at positions 29 to 507 of the family's 1533-position model. The record is from RNAcentral.